Molecule: ribosomal RNA, 506 nt
Filed under: uncultured bacterium
Lineage: Bacteria
Description: bacterial SSU rRNA
Rfam family: Bacterial small subunit ribosomal RNA
Source: RNAcentral
GGAUGAACGCUGGCGGCGUGCCUAAUACAUGCAAGUCGAGCGAACAGAUGAGAAGCUUGCUUCUCUGAUGUUAGCGGCGGACGGGUGAGUAACACGUGGGUAACCUACCUAUAAGACUGGGAUAACUCCGGGAAACCGGGGCUAAUACCGGAUAAUAUAUUGAACCGCAUGGUUCAAUGUUGAAAGACGGUUUCGGCUGUCACUUAUAGAUGGACCCGCGCCGUAUUAGCUAGUUGGUAAGGUAACGGCUUACCAAGGCAACGAUACGUAGCCGACCUGAGAGGGUGAUCGGCCACACUGGAACUGAGACACGGUCCAGACUCCUACGGGAGGCAGCAGUAGGGAAUCUUCCGCAAUGGGCGAAAGCCUGACGGAGCAACGCCGCGUGAGUGAUGAAGGUCUUCGGAUCGUAAAACUCUGUUAUUAGGGAAGAACAAAUGUGUAAGUAACUGUGCACGUCUUGACGGUACCUAAUCAGAAAGCCACGGCUAACUACGUGCCAGCAG